AUGAAAAUGAACGGGUUGGAUCCGGUGAAGCCGUGGGUUCGCUUGGGUAACCCCUGUGAUGAGAAUGAUAAAAACAUUUUUGCUGCUGCCACCAAGGUGUUGCUUGGCAACGGUAUUCGUGCUUCCUUCUGGGAGUCUGCUUGGCUAGAUGGCAUGAGACCCAAAGACAUCGCCCCGAAGAUUUUUGACCUAUCAAAAAGAAGGGGAUGUUCGGUUCAGAAGGCUUUGGAUAAUAACUUCUGGGUCUCUCAAGUCAAAACAGACGGGAUCACCUCCGCUACACACCUGACCGAGUUCGUCAACCUUUGGGAGAAAUUAUCUGUGGUGCAACUCAACCCCGACGUGGCUGAUUCUAUCUCUUGGAAGCUUUCUAAUGAUGGCUCUUACUCCGCGUCCUCGGCCUACAAGGUCCAGUUCCUGGGCUUAGUUGACUCCAACAUGCAACAGUUGGUGUGGAAGAUCUGGGCUCCCCCCAAAUGCAAAUUCUUUGCUUGGCUUGUGAUCAAUAAUAGGAUAUUGACGGCCGACAGGCUCCCACACCCUGGAUGGCCUAACUGUGAUCGCUGCCCCCUCUGCAAGCAAGUUCAGGAAACCGCGGCUCACCUCCUUUUCCAAUGCCGCUACACGGUUCGAGUUUGGGAAAUGAUCAAAUCUUGGCUUGGCUUGGUUGAUGUGAACCCUACGGCUUGGGUGACGGUCCAUUCGGUGAAAGACUAG
RNAcentral lists this ribosomal RNA (717 nucleotides) under Triticum aestivum (bread wheat). RNAcentral describes it as "partial small subunit ribosomal RNA". Lineage: Eukaryota; Viridiplantae; Streptophyta; Magnoliopsida; Poales; Poaceae. The record is from RNAcentral.